GUUUGUCUAGCACAGUUGGUAGAGCGCAAGGCUCUUAACCUUGUGGUCUUGGGUUCUAGCCCCAAGGUGCGCA
RNAcentral lists this transfer RNA (73 nucleotides) under Triticum aestivum (bread wheat). It matches the Rfam family "tRNA". Rfam says of the family: Transfer RNA (tRNA) molecules are approximately 80 nucleotides in length. Their secondary structure includes four short double-helical elements and three loops (D, anti-codon, and T loops). RNAcentral also lists the same sequence under 1 other name. Lineage: Eukaryota; Viridiplantae; Streptophyta; Magnoliopsida; Poales; Poaceae. The record is from Rfam by way of RNAcentral.